This 64-nucleotide transfer RNA is filed under the name Goniobranchus leopardus. RNAcentral's name for it is "tRNA-Gly". The record is from RNAcentral. Lineage: Eukaryota; Metazoa; Mollusca; Gastropoda; Nudibranchia; Chromodorididae.
CUCUAAAAAGUAUUCUUGUACAUUUGCCUUCCAAGCAAAAAGACUAAAAAAAUUAGUUUAGAGA